RNAcentral lists this ribosomal RNA (446 nucleotides) under uncultured bacterium. RNAcentral's name for it is "partial 16S ribosomal RNA". It matches the Rfam family "Bacterial small subunit ribosomal RNA", at positions 329 to 792 of the family's 1533-position model. The record is from RNAcentral.
UCCCAGACUCCUACGGGAGGCAGCAGUGGGGAAUAUUGCACAAUGGGGGGAACCCUGAUGCAGCGACGCCGCGUGGGUGAAGGAGUACUUCGGUACGUAAAGCCCUAUCAGCAGGAAAGAAAAUGACGGUACCUGACUAAGAAGCCCCGGCUAACUACGUGCCAGCAGCCGCGGUAAUACGUAGGGGGCAAGCGUUGUCCGGAUUUACUGGGUGUAAAGGGCGUGCAGCCGGGCUUACAAGUCAGAUGUGAAAUCCUGCGGCUCAACCGCAGAACUGCAUUUGAAACUGUAGGUCUUGAGUACUGGAGAGGCAGACGGAAUUCCUAGUGUAGCGGUGAAAUGCGUAGAUAUUAGGAGGAACACCAGUGGCGAAGGCGGUCUGCUGGACAGCAACUGACGGUGAGGCGCGAAAGCGUGGGGAGCAAACAGGAUUAGAUACCCGAGUA